UGGGGAAUUUUGGACAAUGGGCGCAAGCCUGAUCCAGCCAUGCCGCGUGCGGGAAGAAGGCCUUCGGGUUGUAAACCGCUUUUGUCAGGGAAGAAAUCUUCUGAGUUAAUACCUCGGGAGGAUGACGGUACCUGAAGAAUAAGCACCGGCUAACUACGUGCCAGCAGCCGCGGUAAUACGUAGGGUGCAAGCGUUAAUCGGAAUUACUGGGCGUAAAGCGUGCGCAGGCGGUUUUGUAAGACAGAGGUGAAAUCCCCGGGCUCAACCUGGGAACUGCCUUUGUGACUGCAAGGCUUGAGUGCGGCAGAGGGGGAUGGAAUUCCGCGUGUAGCAGUGAAAUGCGUAGAUAUGCGGAGGAACACCGAUGGCGAAGGCAAUCCCCUGGGCCUGCACUGACGCUCAUGCACGAAAGCGUGGGGAGCAAACAGGAUUAGAUACCCUGGUAGUCCGCGCCCUAAACGAUGUCAACUGGUUGUUGGGAAGGUUCCUUCUCAGUAACGUAGCUAACGCGUGAAGUUGACCGCCUGGGGAGUACGGCCGCAA
This 543-nucleotide ribosomal RNA is filed under the name uncultured bacterium. Its description in RNAcentral is "partial 16S ribosomal RNA". It matches the Rfam family "Bacterial small subunit ribosomal RNA", at positions 355 to 891 of the family's 1533-position model. The record is from RNAcentral.